Molecule: ribosomal RNA, 462 nt
Filed under: uncultured bacterium
Lineage: Bacteria
Description: partial 16S ribosomal RNA
Rfam family: Bacterial small subunit ribosomal RNA
Source: RNAcentral
GACGAACGCUGGCGGCGUGCUUAACACAUGCAAGUCGAACGGAAAGGCCCUUCGGGGUACUCGAGUGGCGAACGGGCGCGUAACACGCGGGUGAUCUGCCCUGCACUUUGGGUUAAGCCUGGGACACUGGGUCUAAUACCGGAUAUGCUAAUCGGCUUCUCGGUCGGUGGUGGCGAGCUCUUGCGGUGUGGGAUGGGGUCGCGGCCUAUCAGCCCGAUGCUGGGGUCAUGGCCUACCACGGCGACGACGAGUAGCCGGCCUGGGCGGGUGACCGGCCCCACUGGGACUGAGGUACGGCGCAGAAUCCUACGGGGGGCAGCAGUAGGGAGGAUUGCACAAUGGGCGGAAGCCGGAUGCAGCGGCGCCGCGGGAGGGAGGACGGCCGGCGGGGUGUAAACCACUUCCAGCACAGACGAAGCGCAAGUGACGGUAUGUGCAGAAUAAGGACCGGCCAACUACGUG